This 254-nucleotide ribosomal RNA is filed under the name uncultured bacterium. Its description in RNAcentral is "partial 16S ribosomal RNA". It matches the Rfam family "Bacterial small subunit ribosomal RNA", at positions 524 to 776 of the family's 1533-position model. The record is from RNAcentral.
UACGGGGGGAGCAAGCGUUGUUCGGAUUUACUGGGCGUAAAGGGCGCGUAGGCGGCCAGCACAAGUCAGUUGUGAAAUCUCCGGGCUUAACUCGGAACGGUCAACUGAUACUGCGCGGCUAGAGUGCAGAAGGGGCAACUGGAAUUCUCGGUGUAGCGGUGAAAUGCGUAGAUAUCGAGAGGAACACCUGCGGCGAAGGCGGGUUGCUGGGCUGACACUGACGCUGAUGCGCGAAAGCCAGGGGAGCGAACGGG